UACGGGGGGGGCAAGCGUUGUUCGGAAUUACUGGGCGUAAAGGGCUCGUAGGUGGCCAACUAAGUCAGACGUGAAAUCCCUCGGCUUAACCGGGGAACUGCGUCUGAUACUGGAUGGCUUGAGUUUGGGAGAGGGAUGCGGAAUUCCAGGUGUAGCGGUGAAAUGCGUAGAUAUCUGGAGGAACACCGGUGGCGAAGGCGGCAUCCUGGACCAACACUGACACUGAGGAGCGAAAGCGUGGGGAGCGAACAGG
This 253-nucleotide ribosomal RNA is filed under the name uncultured bacterium. RNAcentral's name for it is "partial 16S ribosomal RNA". It matches the Rfam family "Bacterial small subunit ribosomal RNA", at positions 524 to 776 of the family's 1533-position model. The record is from RNAcentral.